RNAcentral lists this ribosomal RNA (727 nucleotides) under uncultured bacterium. RNAcentral describes it as "bacterial SSU rRNA". It matches the Rfam family "Bacterial small subunit ribosomal RNA", at positions 108 to 851 of the family's 1533-position model. The record is from RNAcentral.
GAGUAACGCGUGAGGAACCUGCCUCAAAGAGGGGGACAACAGUUGGAAACGACUGCUAAUACCGCAUAAGCCCACGACCCGGCAUCGGGUAGAGGGAAAAGGAGCAAUCCGCUUUGAGAUGGCCUCGCGUCCGAUUAGCUAGUUGGUGAGGUAACGGCCCACCAAGGCGACGAUCGGUAGCCGGACUGAGAGGUUGAACGGCCACAUUGGGACUGAGACACGGCCCAGACUCCUACGGGAGGCAGCAGUGGGGAAUAUUGCACAAUGGGGGAAACCCUGAUGCAGCGACGCCGCGUGGAGGAAGAAGGUCUUCGGAUUGUAAACUCCUGUUGUUGAGGAAGAUAAUGACGGUACUCAACAAGGAAGUGACGGCUAACUACGUGCCAGCAGCCGCGGUAAAACGUAGGUCACAAGCGUUGUCCGGAAUUACUGGGUGUAAAGGGAGCGCAGGCGGGAAGACAAGUUGGAAGUGAAAUCCAUGGGCUCAACCCAUGAACUGCUUUCAAAACUGUUUUUCUUGAGUAGUGCAGAGGUAGGCGGAAUUCCCGGUGUAGCGGUGGAAUGCGUAGAUAUCGGGAGGAACACCAGUGGCGAAGGCGGCCUACUGGGCACCAACUGACGCUGAGGCUCGAAAGUGUGGGUAGCAAACAGGAUUAGAUACCCUGGUAGUCCACACUGUAAACGAUGAUUACUAGGUGUUGGAGGAUUGACCCCUUCAGUGCCGCAG